RNAcentral lists this transfer RNA (73 nucleotides) under Leptolyngbya sp. DLM2.Bin27. RNAcentral describes it as "tRNA-His". It matches the Rfam family "tRNA". From Rfam's summary of the family: Transfer RNA (tRNA) molecules are approximately 80 nucleotides in length. The record is from RNAcentral. RNAcentral also lists the same sequence under 2 other names. Lineage: Bacteria; Bacillati; Cyanobacteriota; Cyanophyceae; Leptolyngbyales; Leptolyngbyaceae.
GCGGGUGUAGCCAAGUGGUUAAGGCAGUGGAUUGUGAUUCCACCAUUCGAGGGUUCGAUCCCCUUCAUCCGCC